This is a long non-coding RNA of Gadus macrocephalus (Pacific cod), 1271 nucleotides long. RefSeq lists it as uncharacterized. The transcript is spliced from 2 exons. Lineage: Eukaryota; Metazoa; Chordata; Actinopteri; Gadiformes; Gadidae. The record is from RefSeq and is a predicted model, not a curated record.
GGGCUGGGCGAUAUACCGGUUUGAAAAUUAUACCAGUAUAUUUUUGAAAGCGAUAUGUAGUUGAGACAAUAUCGCCAUACCAUAUUAUAUAUUAUUUUGAUGUUGCCUUGCGAGCGCUAUUUUAUAAAGCCGACCGCUGCUCUCUGAGCCUACAAACCAUGUUCAGCUGCUCAAUCCCGCCCCUUACAUGUACGUAGCGUUCUCCCACCCACGGACGUUUCGCAUCACAACAAACUUUGAACAAAAACAUGGCGGACACGGUUGUAGAGAGUACUGAACCCGUAAAGGGACAUGGGGUAAAAAUAAUGUUUUUAACGUUUCUCGUGAGCACGAGAAAGUAUCUGGUGCGCACGAGAAAGUAUCUCGUUCGCACGAGAAAGUAUCUGGUGCGCAUAUCACUGUGUGUGUGUGUGUGUGUGUGUGUGUGUCGUGUGAGUGCAGUGGACGAGCGAGCGGUAGCGUGCAUGUCAGUUUAGUGAAGUAAUGAUCGAGUCCGGAUGUGUGUAAAAGAAUAAAGCACCCGGCAAGAAUCGGUGGCCGCUUCAUUCCGACCAUAUUCCGACCUAUAAGCAGACCCACUGCCGGUCAAAGUAAAGGGUGUGUUGCCCCUGAGAGAUCAUCGGUCCUGGAGGGAACGUGUCUGGGAGCCGACAGCAGAAAGUUGUAACACUAACCAUCUCGUAGUCAGAGGGGAAGCGCAAGAGAGUAGUACGUGCUCCAAUAGUGCAAGAUAAAAAUAAAGCACAUUAAUUUAAAUGAUUUUAGCUUGUGUGUGAUUUAUCGCGGGCACGGGCACGCACAAGCUAAAAUCAUUCAUAUUAUAGAGGACGCUGUCAAGGAAAACAGGAUUUUUUGUCUCUAAUGACGUCUUUGGUAUCACUCCGUAAAUAGUCCGGUAACCCCAGCGUCUUCGGUUGCUAUGCGACGUCAACGUCUUUGGCGGGCUAUUUCUCUGCUGAUCAACACUACGAAUGCUGGUUACAAAUAAAGUGUAAAAAGACACACCGUGAAGUUAUUUUUUCGUUCAGGCAAGUAGCCGUGUAAUAAGCGGGAUAAUGUAUAGAACGUCGUCGGUCAUUAUUGAAAAUAAGCACCUUCAGGUCGGUGUCCUGUCCGCCCUGUCGGGGCUUAUUUUCCCGAUAAUGACCAGCGUUCUUUACAUUAUCCCUUACAUAUCUGUUGUUAAAGCACAGCUGUGCUUCAUUGAGCAAAAAAAUAAAAAACACUAAAUAAAUGGUUGAUAGUGAAUACUUGUGGCGCAGAGUUAAAAC